CAUAAAUUUUCUAGUUUAUGUUUUUUAUAUAAUAUAAAUUUACAUGUAAGUAAAUGCAUAAAUUAAACUGAAUUUUAAAUAAAUUUUAGGUGAAUAUAAAUAAACACAGUGGUUAAUUUUAUAAAUUUAAGGAAUUAAGAUGUAGUAAUUAUUUUUAGUAUAGAUAAAAUUUGUGCCAGCAAUAGCGGUUAGACAGAUUAUACAAUAAAAAAAGGUUAGUAAAAGUUAAUUUUAAAUUAUUUAGAAUAUAAUAAUAUUAUUAUUAGGUGAAAUUUUAAUUUUAUUUAAGUUUUAAAGUAAUAGUGAGGCUAAAAAAAUUUAUUCUAAAACUAGGAUUAGAUACCCUAUUAUAAAAAGGUAAAAUUUUAAACUAGAUGAGUAGUAGUUAUUUUCUUAAAAGUUAAAGAAGAUGGCGGUAUUUUAGUCUUUUCAGAGGAACCUGUUCUAUAAUUGAUAGUCCACGUUUUUAUUUACUUAUUUUUUUAAUUUACAUAUCGCCGUAGAUUGAAUAUUUUUUAUGAGUUUAUAAUGUUCAAGAAUUUUUUUAAAAGUAAAUCAGGUCAAGAUGUAGUUUAUAAAUAAGAAGAAAUGGGUUACAAUAAAUUUAUUUAAAAUGGAAAAAAUUUUGUAAAGAUUUUAAAAAGUGGAUUUGAAAGUAAUUUUAAAAAUUUUUUUAAAAUGAUUUUGGCUCUAAAAUAUGUACAUAUCGCCCGUCGCUUUCAUUACAAAAUGAAAUAAGUCGUAACAAAGUAGAGGUACCGGAAGGUGUCUCUAGAAAGA
RNAcentral lists this non-coding RNA (780 nucleotides) under Curculionidae sp. 1 AH-2016. The record is from RNAcentral. Lineage: Eukaryota; Metazoa; Arthropoda; Insecta; Coleoptera; Curculionidae.